GCAUAUCAAUAAGCGGAGGAAAAGAAACCAACAGGGAUUGCCUCAGUAACGGCGAGUGAAGCGGCAACAGCUCAAAUUUGAAAUCUGGCUCUUUUAGGGUCCGAGUUGUAAUUUGUAGAGGGUGCUUUGGCGUUGGUUGUGGUCUAAGUUCCUUGGAACAGGACGUCACAGAGGGUGAGAAUCCCGUACGUGGCCGCCAGCCUCCGCCGUGUAAAGCCCCUUCGAUGAGUCGAGUUGUUUGGGAAUGCAGCUCUAAAUGGGAGGUAAAUUUCUUCUAAAGCUAAAUAUUUGCCAGAGACCGAUAGCGCACAAGUAGAGUGAUCGAAAGAUGAAAAGCACUUUGGAAAGAGAGUCAAAAAGCACGUGAAAUUGUUGAAAGGGAAGCGCUUGCAGCUAGACGUGCCUUUGGUUGAUCAGCCGGACUUUUGCCCGGUGCACUCUUCCUUUGGCAGGCCAGCAUCAGUUUGGGCGGCUGGAUAAAGGUCUGUUAAACGUGACUUCCUUCGGGGAGAGCUUAUAGGGCAGACGACAUGCAGCCAGCCUGAACUGAGGUCCGCGCAUCUGCUAGGAUGCUGGCGUAAUAGCUGUAAGCGGCCCGUCUUGAAACACGGACCAAGGAGUCUAACAUCUAUGCGAGUGUUUGGGUGUCAAGCCCGAGCGCGCAAUGAAAGUAAACGGAGGUGGGAACCCUUUGGGUGCACCAUCGACCGAUCCUGAUGUCUUCGGAUGGAUUUGAGUAAGAGCAUAGCUGUUGGGACCCGAAAGAUGGUGAACUAUGCCUGAAUAGGGUGAAGCCAGAGGAAACUCUGGUGGAGGCUCGCAGCGGUUCUGACGUGCAAAUCGAUCGUCAAAUUUGGGCAUAGGGGCGAAAGACUAAUC
RNAcentral lists this ribosomal RNA (879 nucleotides) under Lophiostoma macrostomoides. RNAcentral describes it as "LSU rRNA". It matches the Rfam family "Eukaryotic large subunit ribosomal RNA", at positions 38 to 936 of the family's 3401-position model. Lineage: Eukaryota; Fungi; Ascomycota; Dothideomycetes; Pleosporales; Lophiostomataceae. The record is from RNAcentral.